AGUGAACGCUGGCGGUAGGCCUAACAUAUGCAAGUCGAACGGCAGCACAGUAAGAGCUGGCUCUUACGGGUGGCGAGUGGCGGACGGGUGAGGAAUACAUCGGAAUCUACUUUUUCGUGGGGGAUAACGUAGGGAAACUUACGCUAAUACCGCAUACGACCUACGGGUGAAAGCAGGGGAUCUUCGGACCUUGCGCGAUUGAAUGAGCCGAUGUCGGAUUAGCUAGUUGGCGGGGUAAAGGCCCACCAAGGCGACGAUCCGUAGCUGGUCUGAGAGGAUGCACAGCCACACUGGAACUGAGACACGGUCCAGACUCCUACGGGAGGCAGCAGUGGGGAAUAUUGGACAAUGGGCGCAAGCCUGAUCCAGCCAUACCGCGUGGGUGAAGAAGGCCUUCGGGUUGUAAAGCCCUUUUGUUGGGAAAGAAAAGCAGCAGGUUAAUACCCCGCUGUUCUGACGGUACCCAAAGAAUAAGCACCGGCUACCUUCGUG
Molecule: ribosomal RNA, 492 nt
Filed under: uncultured bacterium
Lineage: Bacteria
Description: partial 16S ribosomal RNA
Rfam family: Bacterial small subunit ribosomal RNA
Source: RNAcentral